This 1463-nucleotide ribosomal RNA is filed under the name uncultured Klebsiella sp. RNAcentral's name for it is "bacterial SSU rRNA". It matches the Rfam family "Bacterial small subunit ribosomal RNA". Lineage: Bacteria; Pseudomonadati; Pseudomonadota; Gammaproteobacteria; Enterobacterales; Enterobacteriaceae. The record is from RNAcentral.
AUUGAACGCUGGCGGCAGGCCUAACACAUGCAAGUCGAGCGGUAGCACAGAGAGCUUGCUCUCGGGUGACGAGCGGCGGACGGGUGAGUAAUGUCUGGGAAACUGCCUGAUGGAGGGGGAUAACUACUGGAAACGGUAGCUAAUACCGCAUAACGUCGCAAGACCAAAGUGGGGGACCUUCGGGCCUCAUGCCAUCAGAUGUGCCCAGAUGGGAUUAGCUAGUAGGUGGGGUAACGGCUCACCUAGGCGACGAUCCCUAGCUGGUCUGAGAGGAUGACCAGCCACACUGGAACUGAGACACGGUCCAGACUCCUACGGGAGGCAGCAGUGGGGAAUAUUGCACAAUGGGCGCAAGCCUGAUGCAGCCAUGCCGCGUGUGUGAAGAAGGCCUUCGGGUUGUAAAGCACUUUCAGCGGGGAGGAAGGCGGUGAGGUUAAUAACCUCAUCGAUUGACGUUACCCGCAGAAGAAGCACCGGCUAACUCCGUGCCAGCAGCCGCGGUAAUACGGAGGGUGCAAGCGUUAAUCGGAAUUACUGGGCGUAAAGCGCACGCAGGCGGUCUGUCAAGUCGGAUGUGAAAUCCCCGGGCUCAACCUGGGAACUGCAUUCGAAACUGGCAGGCUAGAGUCUUGUAGAGGGGGGUAGAAUUCCAGGUGUAGCGGUGAAAUGCGUAGAGAUCUGGAGGAAUACCGGUGGCGAAGGCGGCCCCCUGGACAAAGACUGACGCUCAGGUGCGAAAGCGUGGGGAGCAAACAGGAUUAGAUACCCUGGUAGUCCACGCCGUAAACGAUGUCGAUUUGGAGGUUGUGCCCUUGAGGCGUGGCUCCCGGAGCUAACGCGUUAAAUCGACCGCCUGGGGAGUACGGCCGCAAGGUUAAAACUCAAAUGAAUUGACGGGGGCCCGCACAAGCGGUGGAGCAUGUGGUUUAAUUCGAUGCAACGCGAAGAACCUUACCUGGUCUUGACAUCCACAGAACUUUCCAGAGAUGGAUUGGUGCCUUCGGGAACUGUGAGACAGGUGCUGCAUGGCUGUCGUCAGCUCGUGUUGUGAAAUGUUGGGUUAAGUCCCGCAACGAGCGCAACCCUUAUCCUUUGUUGCCAGCGGUCCGGCCGGGAACUCAAAGGAGACUGCCAGUGAUAAACUGGAGGAAGGUGGGGAUGACGUCAAGUCAUCAUGGCCCUUACGACCAGGGCUACACACGUGCUACAAUGGCAUAUACAAAGAGAAGCGACCUCGCGAGAGCAAGCGGACCUCAUAAAGUAUGUCGUAGUCCGGAUUGGAGUCUGCAACUCGACUCCAUGAAGUCGGAAUCGCUAGUAAUCGUAGAUCAGAAUGCUACGGUGAAUACGUUCCCGGGCCUUGUACACACCGCCCGUCACACCAUGGGAGUGGGUUGCAAAAGAAGUAGGUAGCUUAACCUUCGGGAGGGCGCUUACCACUUUGUGAUUCAUGACUGGGGUGA